GUGCCAGCCGCCGCGGUAAUACGUAGGGAGCGAGCGUUGUCCGGAUUUACUGGGUGUAAAGGGUGCGUAGGCGGCAAUGCAAGUCAGAUGUGAAAACUAUGGGCUUAACUCAUAGAUUGCAUUUGAAACUGUGUUGCUUGAGUGAAGUAGAGGCAAGCGGAAUUCCCGGUGUAGCGGUGAAAUGCGUAGAGAUCGGGAGGAACACCAGUGGCGAAAGCGGCCUGCUGGGCUUUAACUGACGCUGAGGCACGAAAGCAUGGGUAGCAAACAGGAUUAGAUACCCUGGUAGUCCAUGCCGUAAACGAUGAUUACUAGGUGUGGGGGGUCUGACCCCUUCCGUGCCGGAGUUAACACAAUAAGUAAUCCACCUGGGGAGUACGACCGCAAGGUUGAAACUUAAAUGAAUUGACGG
Molecule: ribosomal RNA, 412 nt
Filed under: uncultured bacterium
Lineage: Bacteria
Description: bacterial SSU rRNA
Rfam family: Bacterial small subunit ribosomal RNA
Source: RNAcentral